RNAcentral lists this ribosomal RNA (253 nucleotides) under uncultured bacterium. Its description in RNAcentral is "partial 16S ribosomal RNA". It matches the Rfam family "Bacterial small subunit ribosomal RNA", at positions 524 to 776 of the family's 1533-position model. The record is from RNAcentral.
UACGUAGGGGGCAAGCGUUGUCCGGAAUUACUGGGCGUAAAGAGCUCGUAGGCGGUUUGUCGCGUUGUUCGUGAAAACUCACAGCUCAACUGUGGGCGUGCGGGCGAUACGGGCAGACUGGAGUACUGCAGGGGAGACUGGAAUUCCUGGUGUAGCGGUGGAAUGCGCAGAUAUCAGGAGGAACACCGGUGGCGAAGGCGGGUCUCUGGGCAGUAACUGACGCUGAGGAGCGAAAGCGUGGGGAGCGAACAGG